ACGGAAGGCAGCAGUGGGGGAUAUUGCACAAUGGAGGAAACUCUGAUGCAGCAACGCCGCGUGAGGGAAGAAGGUCUUCGGAUUGUAAACCUCUGUUUUUGGUGAAGAAAUAAAUGACGGUAGCCAAAGAGGAAGCCACGGCUAACUACGUGCCAGCAGCCGCGGUAAUACGUAGGUGGCAAGCGUUAUCCGGAUUUACUGGGUGUAAAGGGCGCGUAGGCGGGGAUGCAAGUCAGAUGUGAAAUCUAUGGGCUUAACCCAUAAACUGCAUUUGAAACUGUAUCUCUUGAGUGUCGGAGAGGUAGAUGGAAUUCCUAGUGUAGCGGUGAAAUGCGUAGAUAUUAGGAGGAACACCAGUGGCGAAGGCGAUCUACUGGACGAUAACUGGCGCUGAGGCGCGAAAGCGUGGGGAGCAAACAGGAUUAGAUACCCUGGUA
The sequence is a ribosomal RNA, 437 nucleotides long. It matches the Rfam family "Bacterial small subunit ribosomal RNA", at positions 341 to 792 of the family's 1533-position model.